Molecule: ribosomal RNA, 346 nt
Filed under: uncultured bacterium
Lineage: Bacteria
Description: partial 16S ribosomal RNA
Rfam family: Bacterial small subunit ribosomal RNA
Source: RNAcentral
CCUACGGGUGGCAGCAGUGAGGAAUAUUGGUCAAUGGGCGAAAGCCUGAACCAGCCAAGUCGCGUGAGGGAUGAAGGUGCUAUGGAUUGUAAACCUCUUUUAUAAGGGAAUAAAGUGUAGUACGUGUGCGAUUUUGUAUGGACGUUAUGAAUAAGGAGCGGCUAACUCCGUGCCAGCAGCCGCGGUAAGACGGACGAUCCGCGAGUUAUCCGGAUUUAUUGGGUUUACAGGGAGCGUAGCUUGGUUGUUAAGUCAGUUGUGAAAGGUUGCGGCUCCACCGUAAAAUUUCCAUUGAUACUGGCAGUCUUGAGUACAGUUGAGGUAGGCUGACUUCGUGGUGUAGCGG